UGCCUCUGUGGUGUAUAGUGGAGUGUUUCCCAUGUGGUAUUGGUGUGCUGGAUAUCCCUUCACUGGUAGCCUGGUAACAUACACUUCCAGGUCUUUCUCUGCCUCUGUGGUGGAUAGUGGAGUGUUUCCCAUGUGGUAUUGGUGUGCUGGAUAUCCCUUCACUGGUAGCCUGGUAACAUACACUCCCAGGUCUUUCUCUGCCUCUGUGGUGGAUAGUGGAGUGUUUCCCAUGUGGUAUUGGUGUGCUGGAUAUCCCUUCACUGGUAGCCUGGUAACAUACACUCCCAGGUCUUUCUCUGCCUCUGUGGUGGAUAGUGGAGUGUUUCCCAUGUGGUAUUGGUGUGCUGGAUAUCCCUUCACUGGGAGCCUGUUAACAUACACUCCCAGGUCUUUCUCUGCCUCUGUGGUGGAUAGUGGAGUGUUUCCCAUGUGGUA
Long non-coding RNA from Eriocheir sinensis (Chinese mitten crab), 435 nucleotides. RefSeq lists it as uncharacterized. The record is from RefSeq and is a predicted model, not a curated record. The transcript has 3 exons. NCBI's taxonomy places the organism in Eukaryota, Metazoa, Arthropoda, Malacostraca, Decapoda, Varunidae.